GACGAACGCUGGCGGCGUGCUUAACACAUGCAAGUCGAACGGAAAGGCCCUGCUUUUGUGGGGUGCUCGAGUGGCGAACGGGUGAGUAACACGUGAGUAACCUGCCCUUGACUUUGGGAUAACUUCAGGAAACUGGGGCUAAUACCGGAUAGGAGCUCCUGCUGCAUGGUGGGGGUUGGAAAGUUUCGGCGGUUGGGGAUGGACUCGCGGCUUAUCAGCUUGUUGGUGGGGUAGUGGCUUACCAAGGCUUUGACGGGUAGCCGGCCUGCGAGGGUGACCGGCCACAUUGGGACUGAAAUACGGCCCAGACUCCUACGGGAGGCAGCAGUGGGGAAUAUUGCACAAUGGGCGGAAGCCUGAUGCAGCAACGCCGCGUGCGGGAUGACGGCCUUCGGGUUGUAAACCGCUUUCGCCUGUGACGAAGCGUGAGUGACGGUAAUGGGUAAAGAAGCACCGGCUAACUACGUG
Molecule: ribosomal RNA, 468 nt
Filed under: uncultured bacterium
Lineage: Bacteria
Description: partial 16S ribosomal RNA
Rfam family: Bacterial small subunit ribosomal RNA
Source: RNAcentral